UAUGAUUUUAGAAGGUUGAACAGUUAAAGUAUGAUUUUAUGCAAUUUCCACUUAUUUUAUUAAUUAUAGAUUUUCGGUGGUCACAAUUAAUAUGAUUAUAAAAUUAGUUGGUGACAUAAAUGAGGUAUUUGUGGUAAUCGGUGAAUUUGAGUCCCGAGUUCAUUUAGCAUAAACCUGUUUUCAUUUAUCCAUGAUAAGACAAAAAGACGACUUUGCAGUCAACCGGAAAAUAGAAAUAAUAUAGGCAUCCAUUGUCCACAUGGCCAGCCUAUUUCAGUGAAAACUUUUAGCUAAAAAUUUCAUUCAUAGGAGACAGAACUGUGCAACCUUAGUUACGAUUGAUUGCAUCUUGAAGGAGGCACUCACCAGAGAUUCUAUGUUGCCAUCUCCAAGUAAGUGUACUCAUGCUCACAUGCCAUAUGCAGAUUAGUUAUGGAUUUAAUUUCGCAGUAAACAAAUACUCAAAUGAAGCUGUACAUUAGUGGCUUUUAUGAGAAAAAUCCCUGUUUGUGGUAGAAUAACAUUGAUAUUUGCGAAAAUGCGUUUUUGUACAACUUCAAUUUGUUGGUGAAAACGAGCAGAAUUAAACUAUAAAUACAGAAAGUUGAGGAGAUUGAAAUGUAUUUGGUGGUGGUAUGAGUUGUGUAGAUGAGAAUUUGGAGUAUCAUGUAGGCCAUUUGAAAUAUCUAUAAAAUCUAACAUUUCUACUGAACAUUUGCUGAUUAUCUGAACUGAAUAUUGAAUCACUUCUCUCCUAGGAGCAUAGUUAAACCAAUUAUUAUCGAAAAGUUCUUUCUUGUAUCAAUUUAACCACGUCUCAAAAAGUUUUUGUUUUCCUCACUAUAUAACUAUAUCUUAUUUGAAUUUUUUCGGACAGAGCAUUACAAUUUGAGAUCAAAUUGUAAACAGAUUAAAAGUGGAUGAAAUUGUGGUAUUGUAACACUACUUGGUGAUGUUAAUUUUGGUCUUGCUGUUUUAUUCCCACGGGAGGAAUGGAGUAGCCCACACUGUAGCAUCCUUUGUUUCUCCAAUUUUUGAUAUCACUAGUUCGACUUAUUUGCAUUCCAUUAUAUUUGUCAACCACAACUCGUGGUGAUAUGGAUUAAUGAAGUUAUAGAUUUUGUCAAAAGAGAAAAGUGAUGCAAUUAGUUUGGAACUACUUAUAGACCAGAUUGAUUAACGGGAUAAACAUUUUCCCUGUUGUGAUAGGUGCACAUUGAUUUAUUACAGUUUAUCUGAGUUGGGAUGCAUACGAGUGCAAUGCAAUGAUGAGGAAUGUAACUUGACACUAUCAAGAAAUAUCUGACCAAAAUUUCAGCAUCUUUUGCUGGUCCUUGCUGUGAGAAAGAAAAUGGAUGACUCAUUGAUCAAUGGAUAUGAAAAUGAUGGAUCGUUACAAGAAUUUCGAACAUAUUUAGUUCCUGAUAUAAAGAAAAGAAUUCAGGAUGUACAACGAAAGCUAGAUUUUUGGCACCGUUUAUUAAAAGAUCUAGAUAAGAAAAAAAGUAAGGGGUCAAGUGAACAUUACCUGGAAAGGGAAAUUAGAGACUUUGUUUCUAGAC
RNAcentral lists this long non-coding RNA (1562 nucleotides) under Olea europaea subsp. europaea. Lineage: Eukaryota; Viridiplantae; Streptophyta; Magnoliopsida; Lamiales; Oleaceae. The record is from RNAcentral.